This 1384-nucleotide ribosomal RNA is filed under the name uncultured bacterium. Its description in RNAcentral is "bacterial SSU rRNA". It matches the Rfam family "Bacterial small subunit ribosomal RNA". The record is from RNAcentral.
AGAGUUUGAUCCUGGCUCAGGAUGAACGCUGGCGGCGUGCCUAAUACAUGCAAGUCGAACGCAUCACUUUGGUGAUGAGUGGCGAACGGGUGAGUAAUACAUAAGUAACCUGGCCCAUACAGGGGGAUAACUGCUGGAAACGGCAGCUAAGACCGCAUACGUGUAGAGAUCGCAUGAACUCUAUAUGAAAAGUGCCAAGGCACUGGUAAGGGAUGGACUUAUGGCGCAUUAGCUAGUUGGCAGGGUAAAGGCCUACCAAGGCGACGAUGCGUAGCCGACCUGAGAGGGUGACCGGCCACACUGGGACUGAGACACGGCCCAGACUCCUACGGGAGGCAGCAGUAGGGAAUUUUCGGCAAUGGGGGAAACCCUGACCGAGCAACGCCGCGUGAAGGAAGAAGUAACUCGUUAUGUAAACUUCUGUCAUAGAGGAAGAACGGUGGAUAUAGGGAAUGAUAUCCAAGUGACGGUACUCUAUAAGAAAGCCACGGCUAACUACGUGCCAGCAGCCGCGGUAAUACGUAGGUGGCGAGCGUUAUCCGGAAUUAUUGGGCGUAAAGAGGGAGCAGGCGGCACUAAGGGUCUGUGGUGAAAGAUCGAAGCUUAACUUCGGUAAGCCAUGGAAACCGUAGAGCUAGAGUGUGUGAGAGGAUCGUGGAAUUCCAUGUGUAGCGGUGAAAUGCGUAGAUAUAUGGAGGAACACCAGUGGCGAAGGCGACGAUCUGGCGCAUAACUGACGCUCAGUCCCGAAAGCGUGGGGAGCAAAUAGGAUUAGAUACCCUAGUAGUCCACGCCGUAAACGAUGAGUACUAAGUGUUGGGGGUCAAACCUCAGUGCUGCAGUUAACGCAAUAAGUACUCCGCCUGAGUAGUACGUUCGCAAGAAUGAAACUCAAAGGAAUUGACGGGGGCCCGCACAAGCGGUGGAGCAUGUGGUUUAAUUCGAGGCAACGCGAAGAACCUUACCAGGUCUUGACAUCGAUCUAAAGGCUCCAGAGAUGGAGAGAUAGCUAUAGAGAAGACAGGUGGUGCAUGGUUGUCGUCAGCUCGUGUCGUGAGAUGUUGGGUUAAGUCCCGCGACGAGCGCAACCCCUGUUGCCAGUUGCCAGCAUUAAGUUGGGGACUCUGGCGAGACUGCCGGUGACAAGCCGGAGGAGGCGGGGAUGACGUCAAAUCAUCAUGCCCCUUAUGACCUGGGCUACACACGUGCUACAAUGGACAGAGCAGAGGGAAGCGAAGCCGCGAGGUGGAGCGAAACCCAGAAAACUGUUCUCAGUUCGGACUGCAGUCUGCAACUCGACUGCACGAAGAUGGAAUCGCUAGUAAUCGCGAAUCAGAAUGUCGCGGUGAAUACGUUCCCGGGUCUUGUACACACCGCCCGUCAA